RNAcentral lists this transfer RNA (73 nucleotides) under candidate division MSBL1 archaeon SCGC-AAA382M17. RNAcentral describes it as "tRNA-Lys". It matches the Rfam family "tRNA". Rfam says of the family: Transfer RNA (tRNA) molecules are approximately 80 nucleotides in length. Their secondary structure includes four short double-helical elements and three loops (D, anti-codon, and T loops). Lineage: Archaea; Methanobacteriati; Methanobacteriota. RNAcentral also lists the same sequence under 2 other names. The record is from RNAcentral.
GACUCAGUAGCUCAGUUGGUAGAGCAUCGCCCUUUUAAGGCGAGGGCCCUGGGUUCGAGACCCAGCUGAGUCA